GACGCUGAAGAGAGGAGCUUGCUCUUCUUGGAUGAGUUGCGAACGGGUGAGUAACGCGUAGGUAACCUGCCUUGUAGCGGGGGAUAACUAUUGGAAACGAUAGCUAAUACCGCAUAACAAUGGAUGACACAUGUCAUUUAUUUGAAAGGGGCAAUUGCUCCACUACAAGAUGGACCUGCGUUGUAUUAGCUAGUAGGUGAGGUAACGGCUCACCUAGGCGACGAUACAUAGCCGACCUGAGAGGGUGAUCGGCCACACUGGGACUGAGACACGGCCCAGACUCCUACGGGAGGCAGCAGUAGGGAAUCUUCGGCAAUGGGGGCAACCCUGACCGAGCAACGCCGCGUGAGUGAAGAAGGUUUUCGGAUCGUAAAGCUCUGUUGUAAGUCAAGAACGAGUGUGAGAGUGGAAAGUUCACACUGUGACGGUAGCUUACCAGAAAGGGACGGCUAACUACGUGCCAGCAGCCGCGGUAAUACGUAGGUCCCGAGCGUUGUCCGGAUUUAUUGGGCGUAAAGCGAGCGCAGGCGGUUUGAUAAGUCUGAAGUUAAAGGCUGUGGCUCAACCAUAGUUCGCUUUGGAAACUGUCAAACUUGAGUGCAGAAGGGGAGAGUGGAAUUCCAUGUGUAGCGGUGAAAUGCGUAGAUAUAUGGAGGAACACCGGUGGCGAAAGCGGCUCUCUGGUCUGUAACUGACGCUGAGGCUCGAAAGCGUGGGGAGCGAACAGGAUUAGAUACCCUGGUAGUCCACGCCGUAAACGAUGAGUGCUAGGUGUUGGAUCCUUUCCGGGAUUCAGUGCCGCAGCUAACGCAUUAAGCACUCCGCCUGGGGAGUACGACCGCAAGGUUGAAACUCAAAGGAAUUGACGGGGGCCCGCACAAGCGGUGGAGCAUGUGGUUUAAUUCGAAGCAACGCGAAGAACCUUACCAGGUCUUGACAUCCCGAUGCUAUUUCUAGAGAUAGAAAGUUACUUCGGUACAUCGGUGACAGGUGGUGCAUGGUUGUCGUCAGCUCGUGUCGUGAGAUGUUGGGUUAAGUCCCGCAACGAGCGCAACCCCUAUUGUUAGUUGCCAUCAUUCAGUUGGGCACUCUAGCGAGACUGCCGGUAAUAAACCGGAGGAAGGUGGGGAUGACGUCAAAUCAUCAUGCCCCUUAUGACCUGGGCUACACACGUGCUACAAUGGUUGGUACAACGAGUUGCGAGUCGGUGACGGCAAGCUAAUCUCUUAAAGCCAAUCUCAGUUCGGAUUGUAGGCUGCAACUCGCCUACAUGAAGUCGGAAUCGCUAGUAAUCGCGGAUCAGCACGCCGCGGUGAAUACGUUCCCGGGCCUUGUACACACCGCCCGUCACACCACGAGAGUUUGUAACACCCGAAGUCGGUGAGGUAACCUUUUGGAGCCAGC
This 1404-nucleotide ribosomal RNA is filed under the name Streptococcus sp. 2010_Ileo_MS_IXd. RNAcentral's name for it is "bacterial SSU rRNA". It matches the Rfam family "Bacterial small subunit ribosomal RNA". The record is from RNAcentral. Lineage: Bacteria; Bacillati; Bacillota; Bacilli; Lactobacillales; Streptococcaceae.